RNAcentral lists this ribosomal RNA (496 nucleotides) under uncultured bacterium. RNAcentral's name for it is "partial 16S ribosomal RNA". It matches the Rfam family "Bacterial small subunit ribosomal RNA", at positions 28 to 506 of the family's 1533-position model. The record is from RNAcentral.
GAUGAACGCUGGCGGCGUGCCUAAUACAUGCAAGUCGAGCGAACAGACGAGGAGCUUGCUCCUCUGACGUUAGCGGCGGACGGGUGAGUAACACGUGGAUAACCUACCUAUAAGACUGGGAUAACUUCGGGAAACCGGAGCUAAUACCGGAUAAUAUAUUGAACCGCAUGGUUCAAUAGUGAAAGACGGUUUUGCUGUCACUUAUAGAUGGAUCCGCGCCGCAUUAGCUAGUUGGUAAGGUAACGGCUUACCAAGGCAACGAUGCGUAGCCGACCUGAGAGGGUGAUCGGCCACACUGGAACUGAGACACGGUCCAGACUCCUACGGGAGGCAGCAGUAGGGAAUCUUCCGCAAUGGGCGAAAGCCUGACGGAGCAACGCCGCGUGAGAGAUGAAGGUCUUCGGAUCGUAAAACUCUGUUAUUAGGGAAGAACAAAUGUGUAAGUAACUAUGCACGUCUUGACGGUACCUAAUCAGAAAGCCACGGCUAACUACGU